RNAcentral lists this transfer RNA (86 nucleotides) under Paludibacteraceae bacterium. Its description in RNAcentral is "tRNA-Tyr". It matches the Rfam family "tRNA". From Rfam's summary of the family: Transfer RNA (tRNA) molecules are approximately 80 nucleotides in length. Their secondary structure includes four short double-helical elements and three loops (D, anti-codon, and T loops). Further hydrogen bonds mediate the characteristic L-shaped molecular structure. tRNAs have two regions of fundamental functional importance: the anti-codon, which is responsible for specific mRNA codon recognition, and the 3' end, to which the tRNAs corresponding amino acid is attached (by aminoacyl-tRNA synthetases). tRNAs cope with the degeneracy of the genetic code in two manners: having more than one tRNA (with a specific anti-codon) for a particular amino acid; and 'wobble' base-pairing, i.e. permitting non-standard base-pairing at the 3rd anti-codon position. The record is from RNAcentral. Lineage: Bacteria; Pseudomonadati; Bacteroidota; Bacteroidia; Bacteroidales; Paludibacteraceae.
GGGAGUAUUCCAGAGCGGCCAAAUGGGGCAGACUGUAAAUCUGCUGGUUUUCACCUUCGGUGGUUCGAAUCCAUCUGCUCCCACCA